Molecule: ribosomal RNA, 309 nt
Filed under: uncultured bacterium
Lineage: Bacteria
Description: partial 16S ribosomal RNA
Rfam family: Bacterial small subunit ribosomal RNA
Source: RNAcentral
AGAGACAGCAGUCGCCGCGGGAAAACGGAGGGGGCUAGCGUUGUUCGGAAUUACUGGGCGUAAAGCGCACGUAGGCGGCUUGGUAAGUUAGAGGUGAAAGCCUGGAGCUCAACUCCAGAAUUGCCUUUAAGACUGCCGAGCUAGCAGGUGAGAGAGGUAAGUGGAAUUCCGAGUGUAGAGGUGAAAUUCGUAGAUAUUCGGAAGAACACCAGUGGCGAAGGCGGCUUACUGGCUCAUACUGGACGCUGAGGUGCGAAAGCGUGGGGAGCAAACAGGAUUAGAUACCCCUGUAGUCCCUGUCUCUUAUAC